Molecule: transfer RNA, 61 nt
Filed under: Thaparocleidus asoti
Lineage: Eukaryota; Metazoa; Platyhelminthes; Monogenea; Dactylogyridea; Ancylodiscoididae
Description: tRNA-Glu
Source: RNAcentral
AUUAAUUAGGUGUAUAAGCAUAUUAAUUUUUCGUAUUAAUGGAGCCGUUUGGCAAUUAAUA